AGAGUUUGAUCCUGGCUCAGAGCGAACGCUGGCGGCAGGCCUAACACAUGCAAGCUGAACGGACCCUUCGGGGUUAGUGGCGGACGGGUGAGUAACACGUGGGAACGUGCCUUUAGGUUCGGAAUAGCUCCUGGAAACGGGUGGUAAUGCCGAAUGUGCCCUUCGGGGGAAAGAUUUAUCGCCUUUAGAGCGGCCCGCGUCUGAUUAGCUAGUUGGUGAGGUAAUGGCUCACCAAGGCGACGAUCAGUAGCUGGUCUGAGAGGAUGACCAGCCGCAUUGGGCCUGAGACACGGCCCAAACUCCUACGGGAGGCAGCAGUGGGGAAUAUUGCACAAUGGCGCAAGCCUGAUGCAGCCAUGCCGCGUGUGUGAAGAAGGCUCUAGGGUUGUAAAGCACUUUCAGCGAGGAGGAAAGGUUGUAAGUUAAUACCUUACAGCUGUGACGUUACUCGCAGAAGAAGCACCGGCUAACUCCGUGCCAGCAGCCGCGGUAAU
Molecule: ribosomal RNA, 494 nt
Filed under: uncultured Brevundimonas sp.
Lineage: Bacteria; Pseudomonadati; Pseudomonadota; Alphaproteobacteria; Caulobacterales; Caulobacteraceae
Description: bacterial SSU rRNA
Rfam family: Bacterial small subunit ribosomal RNA
Source: RNAcentral